AGAUAACCACCAAGGCAGAAUGUUGGCGUGUGGAAGUACCUCUACUCAGAGUGAUAGAGAAAACUAUGGCUCUGCUUUUACUGAAGGAAUGGCUACCGGAGCGGGCAGCUUUAUGAAUAUAAGGUGAAAAGGAUGUAUGGAGAAGUUUUGGGAGAGUCAGACAGUCCACGGAACUUGCAUUGACUUAGCAAUGAUCUAUGCCAGACGUACAACCCCUGCUGUCAUUGGUGAUACCACUGCUUGAAAAUAUGUCAACGUCCUGUAGAUCAAGUAAGGUUCCAGUCGAAGUCCUCCUGAAGAAUUUGUUGGAUUUCUGCCAGUUUUUGAUAUUGAACUUUAGUGCCUUUUGAGACUCUUGGCUUUUUAAUGGCACGCCUCAUUCUACCCAAAUGGAAGGAUUGGAGUGUGUUUAUAUUGUAUAUGUUUAUAGGCUUGCUAAUAUUUGCUUAGGCUUUCACAUUGUUUUCUGAGAUACUUCUCAACUAUGUCAUUGUGACUCAUUGUAUCACACUUCAAGACGCGUAUCUUUUACUCAAUUAGUGUAUGCACUGUGAAUCCAAACAUGAGAAUUCUAAGAUUAUAGCAACUGCAAAGUUACUGCAAGGACAAUGUUAGUUUUGUAAAAACCUUAAGUGACAAGCACAAGAUGCGAUAGUGCUGGGAGCUUUUCUCUUGUAACAUUUUAAUGCAUUUGUAAUGGUGACGGUAAGCAGAUACUACAUUUUCAUCUCAUAUGUUAGUAUUAACAUGAACUUAAAAGCAUGCAAGGUUUUUGUGUGUGAAGUGGUUAACUCAAAUAUUGGUAUAGAUCAAGGUUAUUAAUGUUGAUCACCUAUGGUGCAAGUUAAUCAUUUUUUUCCCUCUGCAUAUAAACACAAUGUGGAAGCAAAAUAUUGAGAUCAAACUGUUUUAUAUUUACACUUACAUAAAGAGUUACAACAUGUUUUACGUUAAGCAUAUUGAUUAAUGUAAGAUACUUUGAUGUUUUGAUAUGAAUGUGUUUUUAAUAUGAACAUGUUAACUUUUAUGUACCUGUAUUCAUGUGGAGUAUUGUGUGUAAUAUCACAAAGUGAUUUUUCUCUCAGAAUAAACAUUUUAAUUUACUUAUUGGUUGUGUGAAUACAUUUCAAUUAUACCACCUUAAAUUUUCACUGGGGUUGUACCCUUAAAGUACAGAUUAGUACCUUUUAAGGCUGCUAUGCUGUAAUGAUAUACACAGGUACAUUUCGGUCAUUGCAGGUACACAAGUGUACCUUGAUGGGUACAAAUG
Sardina pilchardus (European sardine) is the source of this 1270-nucleotide long non-coding RNA. RefSeq lists it as uncharacterized. The transcript is spliced from 3 exons. NCBI's taxonomy places the organism in Eukaryota, Metazoa, Chordata, Actinopteri, Clupeiformes, Clupeidae. The record is from RefSeq and is a predicted model, not a curated record.